GGUGGCUCAGUGGUAGGGCGCUUGCAUUGUAUGCAUGAGGCCCUGGGUUCGAUUCCUUAGCACCA
RNAcentral lists this transfer RNA (65 nucleotides) under Dipodomys ordii (Ord's kangaroo rat). It matches the Rfam family "tRNA". Rfam says of the family: Transfer RNA (tRNA) molecules are approximately 80 nucleotides in length. Their secondary structure includes four short double-helical elements and three loops (D, anti-codon, and T loops). The record is from Rfam by way of RNAcentral. Lineage: Eukaryota; Metazoa; Chordata; Mammalia; Rodentia; Heteromyidae.